UACGUAGGGUGCGAGCGUUAAUCGGAAUUACUGGGCGUAAAGUGUGCGCAGGUGGCUUCGCAAGUCGAGUGUGAAAUCCCCGGGCUUAACCUGGGAAUUGCGCUCGAAACUACGGAGCUGGAGUGUGGCAGAGGAAGGUGGAAUUCCACGUGUAGCGGUGAAAUGCGCAGAUAUCGGGAGGAACACCGGUGGCGAAGGCGGUUCUCUGGGCCUGUACUGACGCUGAGGAGCGAAAGCGUGGGGAGCGAACAGG
This 253-nucleotide ribosomal RNA is filed under the name uncultured bacterium. Its description in RNAcentral is "partial 16S ribosomal RNA". It matches the Rfam family "Bacterial small subunit ribosomal RNA", at positions 524 to 776 of the family's 1533-position model. The record is from RNAcentral.